UCGAGUUUUUGUACUGUAUUUAUCACAUGUGUUUAUAUACAGGCAAUUUUCUUGACCUAUUAUUAGACACUUUCCUUCACCCCUUUUCAUAUUUUUUUUUUUAAUUUUUAGAUUUAUUUUCUAUAAGACUUCAAGAUUCAAGCUGUUCAUCCUGAAUUCUUUUCGAGUUUUAUUUAUUUUUACUUUCUUUUAUGAUGUUUGACUAGUUUUCUUAUUUGAUUCUAGAGUUUGUAAAUAGUUGAUUACAUUUAUGUGAUUGAUUUAUUAAUACCUUUUUGUCUUUCCAGUUUCUGAUUCAUAAUUCUUG
Molecule: long non-coding RNA, 307 nt
Filed under: Salvia miltiorrhiza (redroot sage)
Lineage: Eukaryota; Viridiplantae; Streptophyta; Magnoliopsida; Lamiales; Lamiaceae
Description: long non-coding RNA (SMIL_LNC010725)
Source: RNAcentral